CAAAACUAUAUAAUCUUCAUAUUGCAUUCUCGUUCUUUCCCCCCAUAUAAUUUUCACAUUCACUUCUUCUAUUCUUGCUUCUAUUCUUUAUCAGAUGAUGUUCACUUUUCUUCUUUUUUCUCUUUUUCAAUUCCCCAUUCAUCGACGACCUCACGUUCUUGUUUGAAUUCUCUUUUAACUUCCUUAUCUCUGGGACUAUCUAAAAUUUUU
Molecule: long non-coding RNA, 210 nt
Filed under: Lathyrus oleraceus (garden pea)
Lineage: Eukaryota; Viridiplantae; Streptophyta; Magnoliopsida; Fabales; Fabaceae
Description: Pisum sativum (pea) long non-coding RNA (PSAT_LNC032501)
Source: RNAcentral